GAGGGUAUUGCUCAGUGGUUAGAGUGCAUGCUUAGCAUGCACAAGGUCCUGGGUUUAAUUCCCAGUACCUCCA
This 73-nucleotide transfer RNA is filed under the name Camelus bactrianus (Bactrian camel). It matches the Rfam family "tRNA". Rfam says of the family: Transfer RNA (tRNA) molecules are approximately 80 nucleotides in length. Their secondary structure includes four short double-helical elements and three loops (D, anti-codon, and T loops). Lineage: Eukaryota; Metazoa; Chordata; Mammalia; Artiodactyla; Camelidae. RNAcentral also lists the same sequence under 2 other names. The record is from Rfam by way of RNAcentral.